RNAcentral lists this ribosomal RNA (440 nucleotides) under uncultured bacterium. Its description in RNAcentral is "partial 16S ribosomal RNA". It matches the Rfam family "Bacterial small subunit ribosomal RNA", at positions 338 to 795 of the family's 1533-position model. The record is from RNAcentral.
CCUACGGGAGGCAGCAGUGGGGAAUAUUGCACAAUGGGGGAAACCCUGAUGCAGCGACGCCGCGUGAGUGAAGAAGUACUUCGUUAUGUAAAGCUCUAUCAGCAGGGAAGAAAAUGACGGUACCUGAGUAAGAAGCCCCGGCUAACUACGUGCCAGCAGCCGCGGUAAUACGUAGGGGGCAAGCGUUAUCCGGAUUUACUGGGUGUAACGGGAGCGUAGACGGCAGUGCAAGUAUGGAGUGAAAGGCGGGGGCUCAACCCCCGGACUGCUCUGGAUACUGUACGGCUGGAGUGCAGGAGAGGUAAGUGGAAUUCCUAGUGUAGCGGUGAAAUGCGUAGAUAUUAGGAGGAACACCAGUGGCGAAGGCGGCUUACUGGACUGUAACUGACGUUGAGGCUCGAAAGCGUGGGGAGCAAACAGGAUUAGAUACCCCAGUAGUC